GUUCGUUGUGGAUGUGUUUCAACGGGUGCAAAACACGAUGGGCUUUUAGGCUGAAAUUGUACAAGAACAAAGAUGGUUAUUAGCUCGUGCUUGACCUAACAGAGAGAGAAGCACACGAGAACUAUGAAAGCUAUAGAAAUACUGAUUACACGAAAAAUACUCCAUAAAACUUUCCAGUGAGCUUGAACAAGAUGGCGGCUGUUCAUACCUGACAUCUGAGGCUGAUAGCCAAUAUAUAUACACACCAACCAGCAAGCUUAUCAUGGAAUAGUCCARUAUCUAUCUUGUAAUAAUGGAUUAACUGCAUUAAAACAAAAGAAAAAGACUUUGAUAGCAAUAUGGACUCACCUUGUUAAUUUAUGAGUAUUGACCUAAUUAAUGAUGUGGUAACCUGGUGAUGACCCUGUGACCUUCAUAAGAAUGUGGACUCACCUUGUUGCUAUAUGGAUAUUGAAGUAAAUAGCUCAGUCAUACCUCAUUCUGGCAAACCUUACUGGUCAAAACGACUUGUGAGGCAAUUAUAUUUGACUGGACAAGUCCCGUUCUGGCCGGACAUUGUCUGACGUCUGGCCGUUAUUUUCAAGCCCUGCAGCAUAAUAUAGCAUUGUACAGUAAACUUUAUGUUUAGUGCCAUAGAGCAUUUUCACUCAUGUGACAAGGCAGCCAUAAACAAUAGAAACUUUCUACGCAGUAUUUGCAUAAAAAUAGAGUUAAAUUCCCGGAGGAUAGAAAAUGUAUUGUUUUGGUACCCCAUAAUGGUCGCUGUGAUGUCAUGUGAAAACGCUCUAUAAAAAUAUGUGUAUCAAGUUGUAGUUUAGUAGGGUACAUCAGUGUACAGUACUUUAUCUUAAAAAUUUGUAAAGCCAAUCUAUAUAAUUCAUACCUGUUCCUAAAUUGUUAUCUCAUCCUAUUUUCAGCUUGUCAGCCAUUACAGAUAAGUCCAAGUGUUAUGAUGCUGUCAACUUCUUGCAGGCCAUUCUAGUGCAACAAACAACUUACCAGCCAUUACAGUCAAGUAUCUUGUGAUGCUGUGUAGCUUUGGCCAGUAUACAUGACAGACAAGUA
Long non-coding RNA from Actinia tenebrosa (Australian red waratah sea anemone), 1065 nucleotides. The record is from RefSeq and is a predicted model, not a curated record. Lineage: Eukaryota; Metazoa; Cnidaria; Anthozoa; Actiniaria; Actiniidae.